RNAcentral lists this unclassified non-coding RNA (337 nucleotides) under soil metagenome. RNAcentral describes it as "partial contains 5.8S ribosomal RNA, internal transcribed spacer 2, and large subunit ribosomal RNA". The stretch from base 1 to 120 matches the Rfam family "5.8S ribosomal RNA", at positions 35 to 154 of the family's 154-position model. The record is from RNAcentral.
GAUGAAGAACGUAGCGAAAUGCGAUACGUAAUGUGAAUUGCAGAAUUCCGUGAAUCAUCGAAUCUUUGAACGCACAUUGCGCCCCCUGGCAUUCCGGGGGGCAUGCCUGUCCGAGCGUCAUUUCUGCCCUCAAGCACGGCUUGUGUGUUGGGUGUGGUCCCCCCGGGGACCUGCCCGAAAGGCAGCGGCGACGUCCGUCUGGUCCUCGAGCGUAUGGGGCUCUGUCACUCGCUCGGGAAGGACCUGCGGGGGUUGGUCACCACUAUAUUUUACCACGGUUGACCUCGGAUCAGGUAGGAGUUACCCGCUGAACUUAAGCAUAUCAAUAAGCGGAGGA